GGCCAGACUCCUACGGGAGGCAGCAGUGGGGGAUAUUGCACAAUGGGGGAAACCCUGAUGCAGCGACGCCGCGUGGGUGAAGAAGUCUUUCGGUAUGUAAAGCCCUAUCAGCAGGGAAGAAAGAAGACGGUACCUGACUAAGAAGCCCCGGCUAACUACGUGCCAGCAGCCGCGGUAAUACGUAGGGGGCGAGCGUUAUCCGGAUUCACUGGGUGUAAAGGGAGCGUAGACGGCCGUGCAAGCCAGGAGUGAAAGCCCGGGGCCCAACCCCGGGACUGCUCUUGGAACUGUGCGGCUGGAGUGCGGGAGGGGCAGGCGGAAUUCCUGGUGUAGCGGUGAAAUGCGUAGAUAUCAGGAGGAACACCGGCGGCGAAGGCGGCCUGCUGGACCGCGACUGACGUUGAGGCUCGAAAGCGUGGGGAGCGAACAGGAUUAGAUACCCCAGUAUAA
Molecule: ribosomal RNA, 450 nt
Filed under: uncultured bacterium
Lineage: Bacteria
Description: bacterial SSU rRNA
Rfam family: Bacterial small subunit ribosomal RNA
Source: RNAcentral